GAAAACAACAUAAUGGUAUUCUAAACAAACAAAAAAAAAUGAUCAACAAGGUUAAUUUUUUUUGUUGUAGUACGAGUUGAGGAAAACAAUCAUUCUGCCACAUCAAAAGCACAAUUGGCAUCGAGGAUAAAGAAUCAAUUGUUUCCCUAAAAUGGUUUGGUUUUUUUUUUUUUUAAAGAUGGGGCGACAAACAAACAAU
RNAcentral lists this long non-coding RNA (199 nucleotides) under Cicer arietinum (chickpea). RNAcentral describes it as "long non-coding RNA (CARI_LNC000236)". The record is from RNAcentral. Lineage: Eukaryota; Viridiplantae; Streptophyta; Magnoliopsida; Fabales; Fabaceae.